UACGGAGGGGGUUAGCGUUGUUCGGAAUGACUGGGCGUAAAGCGCGCGUAGGCGGAUCGUCAAGUCGGGGGUGAAAUCCCGGGGCUCAACCCCGGAAUGGCCUUCGAGACUGUCGGUCUUGAGUUCGAGAGAGGUGAGUGGAAUUCCGAGUGUAGAGGUGAAAUUCGUAGAUAUUCGGAGGAACACCAGUGGCGAAGGCGGCUCACUGGCUCGACACUGACGCUGAGGUGCGAAAGCGUGGGGAGCAAAC
This 250-nucleotide ribosomal RNA is filed under the name uncultured bacterium. Its description in RNAcentral is "partial 16S ribosomal RNA". It matches the Rfam family "Bacterial small subunit ribosomal RNA", at positions 524 to 773 of the family's 1533-position model. RNAcentral also lists the same sequence under 1 other name. The record is from RNAcentral.